This 228-nucleotide long non-coding RNA is filed under the name Solanum tuberosum (potato). Its description in RNAcentral is "long non-coding RNA (STUB_LNC011334)". Lineage: Eukaryota; Viridiplantae; Streptophyta; Magnoliopsida; Solanales; Solanaceae. The record is from RNAcentral.
AAUAUAGUAUUAUAUUGUGUGUAUUUUAUAGUGAAUUGAUCGUUGCUGUAACCGUGGCUUUUACUAUUUUUCUUGGUGUCAAAUUAAGAAUUAACGUGACCAUUUAAUUUAAGGACAAUUAUAAAACAAUAAUUUUAUAAUAAUGAAGGGUGAUUGGAUAGUGUUUGAAGUAUGGAUGGAUGGUUGUUUUGGGUAGCGAAUCUAAGUUACUAGUUUGUCAUUUUCUUU